AGCACUCUCUAAUUGAUUGGGCUACUGUAGAUGGCAUAAUUAUCCUUUGAUUCUUCCAAUGGUUGUUCAACACGUCUUUGCCUCCAGUUUUUCACUCCAUCGGUUAUUUUCAAUUUCUUUUUUUUUUUUUGGGCUGGAGGGUUACCGGAUUACCGGUUUGUGAGCCGUCUCUCUUCCUAUUUCGUGCACUUUCAUUCGGGAGUCCCGGUUAAUCGGUGUCUGAUUUCUCUAGAAAUAUGUACCACACGUUUAAAGCGGCGUCGUUCCGGUGACAGUGGUGCUUAUCUAGAACAAUCCAGUGCAACCUCCUCUCUCCCGGUCAAUCUUCUCCUUUCUCCACCCAUCUACUGCAACAAACCGACGCCUCUCGCGCUCCUCCCCUUUCCCAAUAUCAGUGACCUCCUCUCUCUCUCCCUGGCCGGCGCCCUCCUCUCUCUCCCUACCCGGUGAGUUCUUUUCUGUCUAGGCCCCUUUCCUCGAGGGUCUUCACGGGCUGCUGCUCGCCUCACUCGACGAGUUAGUGUUCCUAUUGAUGACCGUUCGGCGCGUGCUUCCGCGGCAUGGACGACCUGGUGGCGCGCCUUGCCGGAUCCUCCCGGAGGUGGUCCUGGUGGCGGGUGCUCCACGCCGAUGUGCCCGUGGCCAGGAAAAAACGUCCGUACAUGUUGCCCGGCAAGCAAUUCAGGGAGGAGGCGGUUUAGUUUUUUUUUUCUUCUUAUUCUUUGGAUCCGCUUUCCUUGGCCCUUGCAAUAUACUCCGUAUUUGAUGGUGGCAAAUGGACAGCUUCUCCCCCGCUCCAUCUGUUAGGCAUCCCAAACCCUAGCCCCCUAUUGAUGCACUCCAACAUUUACCUGUCUCCUGCACCGCUUGACAUGUUCUAGACUAUCUGUGGCUGUUGCCGUUGCUUUCCUGUACGUAAGGCUGCUGGUGGGUGAUUUGGGUGAGGUAUGGUGAUUUAAUUGAUGAAUCUGUAGCUCCAUCAAAAUGCAACAGAGCAACCAUGGGUGGUGUAGGCACGCACUGUUUCUUGAUGCGAUUGGUUGGCCGAGGUGCUCAACAAUCUUCCUAUGUAUUUUAAAUACUACUGUUUUAUUUGACCAGGUGAAUUUCCUUUGGGCAUUGUUUUUUCUUACUUUGUUUUGGCCUCUUCUACUGUAUCAUGAUCUAUUAUUGCUAAGUGGUGUCCUCCUAUAACAAGGUAAAUCCAAUCCCAAUUUUAAUGGACGCUUAUAUAUUUUAUUUUACUGGUGGACGCAACAUAAUUACAAUGUGGAUCUUCAAAAUUAUUAGCUGCAGAAUAACUAAAAUUAGAGGCACUGUUGAUGUGAAUUAAUUUGCAUGUCAUUCAGAUUUACAAACUUUUGAAGCACCACUAGCCGUUCUAUGGUUUUGUGAAGCAACAAAAGUAGGAAGUAUGUAUGUAGUGUAGAUAUAGAGCUGAUUCUCCUAUUACCACUUCUUUAUUGAGAUCUAAUUAAUUUUGUGUUCUGUUAUAUAAGGGUGACGUCCUCCCUCUCCAAGCUUGGUUCUUUGAUGAUGUUGCCGUUUGGAUCAGCCAAAUUCAUUCGUGGUCCUUUUCUGGAAGGCAGCUACUAAUAGCCUGUUUCAGCUGCUGCCCAUAUAUAUACGCAUCAAUCAGACUUUUGGUCAAUACCAGUUUCCAUGUUUUCAUAUGAAAAAAGCAACACUGCAUAAUGGAUUGAGCUCUUGCUAUAAUCUUUGUGUUCGUGGUCCUUUUCUGCAAGGCAGCUACUCACAGCCUGUUUCAGCUGAUGCCCAUAUAUAUACGCAUCAAUCAGACUUUUGGUGAAUACCAGUUUCCAUGUUUCCAUAUGAAAAAAGCAACGCUGCAUAAUGGAUUGAGCUCUUGCUAUAAUCUUUGUGUGUUUCCUUUUGAAAAAGAAACAUUAGACCACGUUGGAGCUAACUAAACAUAUUUGUACGCGCUGUCCAAGUUAGCUCAUAUUGUGUUUUACUGCCCAUAUUGUUCUACAGUUGGCCAUAUUGUUUUUACUGUCCAAGUUGAGCAGUUCAUUACAUGUUGCACUCCACUCAUCGACGCACAGCGGUUCAUUGCUUACAAUUAUUCAAUCAUGUUUUUUGGUCAGUUUCAAUUUCAUGUUUUUAUUGUGAAAAAUCAAUAGGUCAUCUUUCAGUGAACUCUAGCAAUAUUCUUUGCAUAUUUCCUUCUGGGAGAUAAACAUUGGGUUAUGUUUUUAGGCUUAGUUAUGUUAUAAUUAGGCAUAUUUGUUUUGUUGUCCAAGUUAGUAAAAAUGAACAUCAGUCCCUGCUUAAGGUUAAUCAGACGUAAUGUUGUUACUGUCUAUGUUAGGAAAAUGAAAAUCAUAUCAUGUAGCUAAAUCGUAUUUUAGGCUAGGUUUUUCUGUAAUUAGACAUAUUGCUUUACUAUCCAAGUUUAGCAUUUCAAAAUAAAUAUCAGAUCAUAUUUUAGGUUAACUUAUAAACCUCAAAUCAUGAUUUUGGUGAAUUUCAAUUGCCUGUAUUCAUGUGGGAAACCAACCGCGCGCCUUUGAUUGUACCCUUGAUAUAUUGUUUGCAUGUUUCCAUUUGGAAAUUGGAAUAUAAACAUCAGAUCAUGUUUUAGCUUAAUUUAUCCUGUAACUAGACAUAUUGUUCUUGAUAAACCACAAAUCAUGAUUUUGGUGAAUUUAAAUUGCCUGUAUUCAUGUGGGAAACCAACCGCGCACCUUUGAUUAUACCCUUGCUAUAUUCUUUGCAUGUUUCCAUUUGGAAUAUAAACAUCAGAUCAUGUUUUAGCUUAAUUUAUCCUAUAACUAGACAUAUUGUUCUUGCUGUCCCUGUUAGAAAAGAUAAACAUCCAAUUAUGUUUUCUGUUAAGUUAUCCUAAAACUAGACAGAUUGCUUUUGUUAUCCAAGUUGAAUAGUUCAUUACAUGGUUCGCUCCAUUUACGAACGUGUAGCAGGCAAUCGGUUAUAAUUAUCCUUCCGCUGAAAAGUAUUUCUUAUUUACUUCUGCUUUCAUCUCCUCCUCUCGGUGGAUAUUUUCCAGAUAUGUGCCUCUCACCUGCCAUGGACGAAAUUGCUUCUGAAGGUGACUUCAUUUCUAUGGAAGGAGAUAUUGCAGCUGAUACUUACACUCAGAGUUCUUGGUUUGCUUCUCAGGAAGAUUGUCUUCUUAUGGAAAGCGAUGUUCCAGCGACCUAUAAUAUUACUCAGAAAUAUUAAGUAAUCCAUUGAUUUAUGCAAUGGCACCUGGAUCAUGGCACGAGGCUCCGAGAAUGGAUUUUUGAUGAAGAGUUAAUGACAAGGAGCAAGAAAGGUCACAUAUGGGUACCAAGAAUAUUUCUGAAUACUUCGUCAUCGAGGUGGCCAUUUUUACAUUACAACGCCAUCAAUACCCAAUUUGCCUUUGCAAUGUGAUGACCGUUGGCAAGGUCCAGGGACAGACGUUGGAAAGAGUAGAUCUGUCGUUGCCAAAGCCAAUAUUUUUCAAUGGAACAUUUCUAUUUCAAGAGUGACAACGAUGCAGGGAUUAAAAAUAGUUGAAAUAUGUUAAAUCGGCAAACCAAGUACUGAAACUAGAAAUAUCAUAUACCCACAAGUUCUUGACGAUCUGUAGUAGUAGUGUACUUCCACACUUGCAUGUACGGUUACUGAUAAACGAAUACUCUGUACCAUGCGCUUAACAUCUGUCUUCCCGUUUUCUGUGCA
Lolium perenne is the source of this 3693-nucleotide long non-coding RNA. RefSeq lists it as uncharacterized. The record is from RefSeq and is a predicted model, not a curated record. NCBI's taxonomy places the organism in Eukaryota, Viridiplantae, Streptophyta, Magnoliopsida, Poales, Poaceae.